Molecule: long non-coding RNA, 2892 nt
Filed under: Homo sapiens (human)
Lineage: Eukaryota; Metazoa; Chordata; Mammalia; Primates; Hominidae
Description: non-protein coding lnc-SNRPN-8:130
Source: RNAcentral
UCUGUCACACUCAAGUCACAAAAUAUUUAACCACUUAUUUUUUUAUCUCUGGAGGAAUAAUCCAAAAGAUUGUACUGGUAAAGCCAGAACAAUUUCCAAUUAUGCUAAUUAUUUGUAUAAUACUUAGUUGGCUUUAUCUGUGGUUUGUUGGCUUAUUUUCCUGUAGCUUUUCAAGGUUUUUCUAUGAGUUCUGUUAAAGAGUCUGAAAAUGGAGCGUAGAAGACAUGCUUCGAUUUCCAGGAUGGUUGUGUUUUCCAGAGAGGCGGAGGUAAACCACUGGCGCAGCCCUGCCUCCCACAGAUAAUUCCGGGUGCAGUGUUUCAUAUCUAGACUUGGACUUCUAUCCUACCAUACUUCUUUGUGUGCAGGCCAUGUUUUCGCAGGCAGUCUUGCUAUCAGAGCUGAGGGGAUGCUGUUUUGAUCACUUAGUUUAUCUGAUGUUGCUGGGCCUCCAACUGGUGCUGACUGGUACUUCCUGAGAUGGCGAAGGUUUUUCUGUACUCUGAGAUGCCGUGUAUCUCUAUGUAAGGGGAGGAGACUCUGGACCACAGGAAUGAAGAGAACAUCUUAGUUCAUUGUGGAACCAGCACAGAUUUUCAUACGAAAGUUAUUUCUUUUUAACCUCAAAAAGUGACAGAAUGGAGUGUAUCAUGAAAAAGUCUGACAUCAAAACCUCAAAAUGUGAUAUUGAUUGGGUGAGAUAGAAUUCCAUGGAAUUUCAUUGCCAAACCAGUGAAGUGCUAAUUUUGACAUUUGUACCAGCUAACGUAGCUGUGAAGAAACACACCAAUACACUUCUAAGGACAGCAUAGACCAAGAUCUAGGUUUCAUAUGGAUGAAUUUAUUCUUCCCUUUGAGGCAAGACAAGAAGGAAAGAAAGUAUUGGGAAUAAUGCUGCCCUCCCAUCCUCAAGGGCCAGUGGGAACUCUAAUAUUGAUUGGUUUUCACAGAAUUCCAUGGACUUUAACUGCUGAACCAAUGAUGCACUGAUUUUGUCACUUGUACCAGCUAACGCAUCUGGGAGGCAACAAAACAAUACUCUCCUGAGGUUAAUGUGGACCAAAAACUAGAUUUCAUAUAAAAGAGUUUAUUCCUUCUACUUGAGGUGUGACAUGAAGGAAAGUAAUGGAAAUAAUUCUGCCCUCCCAUUCUCAAGGGCCAGGGGGAAUUCAAAUAUUGAACGGAAGUGAUUUUGGAAUUGCAUGGAAUUCUCACUGCCAUCCCAAAGAAAUGCUGAUCUUGUCACUCUUACCUGUUUCAUUCCCUGGGGGCAGAACAAAAGGACGCACUCCAAAGAUCGGCAUGAACCAAGAACUGGGUUUCAUAUAAAAUAUUUUAUUCUGUCCUCUUGAGAUGUGACAUGAGAAAAGUAUUGAGAAUACUUCUAUCACCUCAUCUUCAAGAAUCCGUAGGAAUUCUCCCAUGGUGGACUUUACGGUUAACCUGAACAGGUCUUGGAAAAAGGACUUUAAACAUUCUCCUGUUCUGUGGAAUAAGUAUACUUUUUUCUGGACAUACACCUUGUCAGUGAGUUCCAUGUGAUACUAGAGUUGCAUAGAUUUUUAACCUUUACGCCAAUGAAGAUCUGAGGCAAACAUUGCCCCUUUUUUAGAAGUUUGCAUUUGUCACUGAUAACUGUAAUAAUUGAUCUUGUUGAAAAGCCUGGGAAAUGAAGAUCUGAUAUGUCACUUUUACCGGCUUCCUCAACUGAAAAAGAAUACAAUGAAACACGCUGAGAAUUUUUGUGCUUUCUCAGUCUUGCUGAUGAUCUUUCUAUGGGCCUGAAGCGUGGAGAGUGCCAGAGAGGCUGAUCCUCAGCAGUGUGGCAGAGGAAAGUUGGGUGCGACUAAGGGGUAUGCGGUGCCCACAUGCCACUGGGUCCUCAGCAGUACCACCUGAUUGGAAGUGAUAUUGGUGGAAGACAACAUUUUGCCGCUUGGAAUUCUCACCUCCACACCAAAGAAGUACUGUUUUUGUCAUUUGCACCAGCUUCUUUCUCCAGGAAAGAUCAAAACGAUGCACUGCAAGUGUGAUUGGUCCAGAUAGCUGCCUUAUCCAACUGCCUCCUUUGGACCACUUCAUCAUGGGACAGCUUGAUGCAAUCUACUUGACAAGACCCUGGAACCCCACACCCCUCAUGGAACCAGUGUCCACCUCCCAGUCACAGUGUGACCCCAGGGAACUCUUGCCUGCUUGCUUUAAACCCACCACUUAAAAGUCUCCACAGAAAACCUGUUUGAAUAGUACCCUUGACCCAAUAAGGGCAUUGGCCCCUGGGUGUCUCUCUCUCUCUCUCUCUCUCCCCUCUCUCUCCCUCUCUCUCUCUCGCUCCCUGACCUCUGCGUGUGGACUCCAGGCAUGCCAUAUACCCCUCAGGACCUGAAGCAAAAGAAUGAAUUAAAGAAAACUCCAGAGAAUGAGCUGACAACCUACUCCCUGGUCAGUGGCUCUCCAUGCCUACCUGUGGUCUCUUGGACACCCUUGCAGAAGAUGACUUCCUGGGAACUCUUCUGGGAGUGAAUGUUAUCAGCAAAUUCCCAAAACAACACCCCUUAGACAAAAAGCCUCCUCACCUAUGCAUUGCCUAGACCACCCACUAAAGGUGAUGGCCACAAAGAGGUGGAUUUGUUGAGUUGGUGCCAUUCCUUCUACUGCCAGCUUCACCAAAACAAUGACACAGUCUUCCUUCCGCAUGGAGACUCUUCUCUUUCCUGUGUUGCAGUGGAUGCCUCCUGCAGAUAAGAAAUGCUUAACUGAGAAAUGCUCAUGUUGGGAUAUCAUCGAUGAGACUUUAAUUUGGGCAUGGUGACUGUUUCCCUUGCUGCCACUUGACUCAAUCCCAGGAGCCUCAGUAGAGGAUAUAAUAUUACACAAGAUGCUCAAAAUGGUGGA